Molecule: long non-coding RNA, 279 nt
Organism: Sorghum bicolor (sorghum)
Lineage: Eukaryota; Viridiplantae; Streptophyta; Magnoliopsida; Poales; Poaceae
Exons: 3
Source: RefSeq, a predicted model, not a curated record
UCCACCGCUGGACUCCUAUGCACAAGAACCACAUGGAGCUGUUCCGUAAUAAGUCACAACAUUUUUGGAGGUGAGCAAGGUGCUGAAGAAGGCGUAGGCCACAGGGAAGAAGGUGGAGCUGUGGCCAUGCUUAGUCAAUUCAUUGACUUUGCAACAUCCAUGUUUCUUUUGUUUUUUUACAUGGCCUUUCAAUAUACAGGUAUUGUUAUUGGAGCGGCUUCUGCUUCUAGACCCUCUUCCUGCCUUUGCCAGGUGACCAGCUGCAGGCAAGAGUUCCAC